Non-coding RNA from Pristis pectinata (smalltooth sawfish), 417 nucleotides. The record is from the annotation of a RefSeq genome assembly. NCBI's taxonomy places the organism in Eukaryota, Metazoa, Chordata, Chondrichthyes, Rhinopristiformes, Pristidae.
AUGGCUGAUUCUCUUUCCGAAGAUCGCCGGCUGAUUUGUGGGUUUUCUCAGGGUGCGGGUUCGGUGACCGUCCUCCAGGCUCCGCUCGCAUUGUCCGUAGUGUCCGGCGACGGGAUGGAGGUGCAGUGUACCGCCGAAGGAGGAUAUAGCACUCACUACAUGUACUGGUACAGACAAUACCCGGGGAAGGGACCUCAGAUCCUCAUUUACUCGAUAGGCAACAAUCUCGUGGAUCCGAAGGAAACGCCGGACGGUUCAACUGGCAAAAGAAAGGACAACCAGUUCAAGCUGACCGCCAGCCACCUGACUGCAGAUCACUCGGCUCGCUAUUUCUGCGCCUGGAGUCUACACAGCCACGCGAACAGAUGGGGGAGCUCAACAAAAACCCUUAACACUGACGAAGGGCUUGACUGUUAA